UUUGUAUUCAUUGCACCCCUGCUGUUAUUGAUAUCAUUACGCAUGGUGCUCACGCUGCGAGGAGGGGGUUGUGACUGGCAACCGGGAGGUCAUGGAGCUGUAGGCCCUAACGAGAAGUGACAUUGGCUCCAGGUCGGCCAAGAAUCCACCGGAUUUCAAUGGGAGCCGCACUUUCCCAGUCAGCGCAUUAGAUCAAAGAUCAUUACCUGCUAAUCAAAACACAUGAAUGAUCUUGGCCAGGAGUGGUGCUGAAAGACUGAAUGGUAGACGAUGGAAGACUCUCUUCUCCCAUGUCAGCGCUUUGGCCCCAAACCUUGUCUUGGCUGGCGGUGGAGGCACGAGACGGCGGCCGUGCACAGAUGCAAAUUUCACAUCAAGCUCCAGACUGGCCACCACAGUCAUCCCACCACAGGCCUCAUGUCAGGUAUAAACACCACUCCUGGGAAUGAGUCACGUCACUGGGAUCUACCACAGACAGCUUCAAUCAUGACCGAGCCAGAGGCCUGGUACAGCUUGGAUGGAGUCAGACAAUCAGAAAGCCAUAAAUAGAUAACUAUUGAU
Molecule: non-coding RNA, 561 nt
Organism: Oryzias latipes (Japanese medaka)
Lineage: Eukaryota; Metazoa; Chordata; Actinopteri; Beloniformes; Adrianichthyidae
Source: RefSeq, a predicted model, not a curated record